AGAGUUUGAUCAUGGCUCAGGACGAACGCUGGCGGCGUGCCUAACACAUGCAAGUCGAACGGAACUUUUUCAGAAGAUUCUUUCGGGAUGAUUUUGGUUAAGUUUAGUGGCGGACGGGUGAGUAACGCGUGAGUAACCUGCCUUUGAGAGGGGAAUAACAAUCUGAAAAGAUUGCUAAUACCGCAUAACAUAUACGAAUCGCAUGGUUUGUAUAUCAAAGAUUUUAUCGCUCAGAGAUGGACUCGCGUCCGAUUAGUUAGUUGGUGAGGUAACGGCUCACCAAGACCGCGAUCGGUAGCCGGACUGAGAGGUUGAACGGCCACAUUGGGACUGAGACACGGCCCAGACUCCUACGGGAGGCAGCAGUGGGGGAUAUUGCGCAAUGGGGGCAACCCUGACGCAGCAACGCCGCGUGAAGGAUGAAGGUUUUCGGAUUGUAAACUUCUUUUAUUAAGGACGAAAAAUGACGGUACUUAAUGAAUAAGCUCCGGCUAACUACGUGCCAGCAGCCGCGGUAAUACGUAGGGAGCAAGCGUUGUCCGGAUUUACUGGGUGUAAAGGGUGCGUAGGCGGCUUUGCAAGUCAGAUGUGAAAUCUAUGGGCUCAACCCAUAAACUGCAUUUGAAACUGUAGAGCUUGAGUGAAGUAGAGGCAGGCGGAAUUCCCCGUGUAGCGGUGAAAUGCGUAGAGAUGGGGAGGAACACCAGUGGCGAAGGCGGCCUGCUGGGCUUUAACUGACGCUGAGGCACGAAAGCGUGGGUAGCAAACAGGAUUAGAUACCCUGGUAGUCCACGCUGUAAACGAUGAUUACUAGGUGUGGGGGGUCUGCACCCCU
Molecule: ribosomal RNA, 835 nt
Filed under: uncultured bacterium
Lineage: Bacteria
Description: bacterial SSU rRNA
Rfam family: Bacterial small subunit ribosomal RNA
Source: RNAcentral